GGCUUUCAAACCCUUUGUGGUUUGAAGUUGUCAUACAACUUGAGUUAAUGGGCUUGACAUUCAAAUCUCAUUGGGCCUUGCGGCCCAAAACUAACCUGAGGUCUAUAACGAACUUAUUCUUUUGAUUAAUGAACAUAUUAAUUAAUCCUAGCCAUAAAUAAUUAAACCAUUAAAUUAUCCUUACUCAUCUAUGUUGUUUCUUCAAUCUCUACCUUACACCGUGUAUGAUCCAUUAGGUUCUUUUUAGCGAGGCAGUGGGCGAUUAGAACUCUUUCAAAUCGAUUGUGAAUUGAAACUUACUUUCAAUUCUCCCUUUAGUGAUUAUACACGUUUAGGGCUUCCACAAACCAUGAGUGACACCUAGCAGUAUGUCAUGGUUACCCAAGCUAAUCAGAAGAGGUGGAAAACCUAUUCAGUUUAGGAUUACAAUGCAAUACGGUCUUUCUUUAAUACAAUACUCUUGACCACAUUCUUUGGUUUGAUAGUUUAUUCAUGUCUACUAUCCAAUGUGAUUCAUUUACUUAUAUGAUUACCUUGAAUAUGAUUUGGAACGACUUCCUAAAUCUCAUUCAAACUCUAGCCAGAGAUUCUUAAUCAUAUCAUAAAGUAUUCUCCCUCAAACAGUUUGAAGGUUAGAGAUCCCUUGUUGUGCAUUCACUUGCCUCCAUGGCUAAGUGGCUUAACCCCAACUAUGUCGUGGACACCCUCGGAUGGAGUGACUUUGACAUAGUCAAAGAUCAAGGACCUAACCACAAGACAACUAUGAUGCCUCGGGUCAAAGGACUACUUUGCAUUAUCCCAACCAUGAGUUCUCAUGUGACAUGAGUAUGAGAACUCCUUGUUGAUUGCGUUAAGUGAACUCAUUCUCUAUUGAGCACCUACGUACUUGUCUUGGUGUCAGUCACACCAAUGACUCGAAACCAGUCACUCUCCCUAAGAGAAAACAUAGCACAUACUGAUCUUAAUGGACUGUCAAUGCCCAAUUGACAAUCCUAUGAUCAGGAACGUUUAGGAUAUGUAUACGAAAGAAAAUGGUCUCAUGAAUCUAACUUCUUUAGAUCGCAUUCUCCCAAUUACAUAUUCCUUGGACUUAUCGUUUAAGCAUAUAACAUUUAUAUGAGACGGCUUCAAACAAUAAUAUUUGCCCUUUAAAUUAAACUAUAUUAGUUUAACAUGUGAAAUGUCCGUAAAGUAUCAUCAUAUGAUUGGUUUUAGAAGUGUUUUCUGCCCAGUAUUGGUCGGGCCGAGUUUAGAAUUGUUCUCAGCCCAGAGGCCGUGUUUAGGUGUCAUUCGGGGUUAUCCAGCGCAUGGGCCGUGCAGUCGAAGCUGGCCAUAUCCUGUUGGGAACCUGUGGGAUGCGAGUGAGUCUUAUUACAAGAAGGAGUUUCGACAAGAUAAGGAUGCUGGAGUUUGAGAUUUAAUGCGGCCUGAUAAUAAGUUAAGUUCAAAGUCCUAGUAGGAGUAGGAUUGGCCGAGAUAAGGUUGGAUUGGGGAAAAGAGUUAUAAUCCGAGAAUAAUUAGGAUUCAAUGCAGGUUGGCUAAUAUAAAUAGGGAGGGAGGACAUCAAACCCUCUCCAAUUCAACACACAAACUGCCCUGUGCAAACUCUCGCUCUACGCGAAACCUCUCAACAACUUUGAGAUUUUUACUUUCUUUUUCCACCAACAUACCUUCAGUUUGGAUAAACAGCACUAUGGAGGCAACCGGCGAACAUCUUCCGUUUGGAUAAACAGCACUGUUGCCGUAGAAUCGGCCAACCGUGAAACAUCUUCAGUUUGGAUAAACAGCACUGCAACAUGGUUGACUGGUUAUCUAUCUAAGUCUUGGUCAAGAAGGAUUUUCAAAUAUUUAUUGGCAGAUGUCAUCUCAUCAGCCUUCCUGGCGAAGUGAGGUGUUACUAGGGCUCGGCACAUUGGACGCCGAGUUGUUUAUGAUUGGGUAUUUGCAAGUAGGUUUUAGAGUUUAGCAUUCUA
This 1973-nucleotide long non-coding RNA is filed under the name Malus domestica (apple). Its description in RNAcentral is "long non-coding RNA (MDOM_LNC012901)". Lineage: Eukaryota; Viridiplantae; Streptophyta; Magnoliopsida; Rosales; Rosaceae. The record is from RNAcentral.